Molecule: ribosomal RNA, 253 nt
Filed under: uncultured bacterium
Lineage: Bacteria
Description: partial 16S ribosomal RNA
Rfam family: Bacterial small subunit ribosomal RNA
Source: RNAcentral
UACGAAGGGUGCAAGCGUUACUCGGAAUUACUGGGCGUAAAGCGUGCGUAGGCGGUUCGUUAAGUCUGUCGUGAAAGCCCUGGGCUCAACCUGGGAAUUGCGAUGGAUACUGGCGAGCUAGAGUACGGUAGAGGAUGGUGGAAUUCCCGGUGUAGCGGUGAAAUGCGUAGAGAUCGGGAGGAACACCCGUGGCGAAGGCGGCCAUCUGGACCAGCACUGACGCUGAGGCACGAAAGCGUGGGGAGCAAACAGG